CCUGAGCCACUGCACCUGGCCACCUUUCACCCUUCCAAAAAGCAGCCUGUACCUUCCUUAGGUGCAUGAAGGUGAAACAAUGCCCCGAACAGGCAGGAGGGAUGUGCUUUCCUCCCCAGUCACUGGGAGUCCUGGGAGGUAUCACUGCAUUACAAAUAUAACCCACACCAAAGGCCCCUUUUCUGUCGCACAGAAUCUGUCUCCAAGGAUUCUCUGGAAAUGGAAAGUGGGAACUUGUGGGCCUUUGAGAUGGAGCAUAGUAUAGUUGUCUUCCUUUGGGUUAUAGCCUUCAGAGAGGUGCUCCUUUUCACCUUGUACAGCGUGGGCUACAAGAGGCUCUUGCCACCUUUUGCAUGUGACCAGGGAGGGAAAUGGACACCCCUCACUAGUCAGAGGAUAUUACACAUCAAUGCCCCCCCACAUCAGUGGACGUUUCUUUUCACAACUUCUUUCAUUUCUUCCUGUUUCAGUGUCUAGAACUUCCUGUUGCCACACUCUGCUCCCUUGAACUCCUUUCUAUAGAAAUAAGGGUGUUCUUGUCCCUUCAUCCAUUCUUCAGCCCUAAAAAUUUCACAGCCUCAGUCAUUUGCUAAGGAUCUACCACUUUUUAGCUCUUUCAAGCUGCUGUGGUCACAGCAGAGGAUGAUGUAAGCUCCUCUGCUCCCCUGCAUGGGGCGGGAGGGGCCGGAGAAGUGAGGGAAGAGUGGGGGCCCAGGAUUUCUCCCUUGAUUAUAGAGAUGUGGUGGAGGAUGGGGAGGCAGACGGAAAGAAAAAUGUCCCAGCUCACCCUGGCACAGAGACAUUGUUCCACAAAGAAUGCUCACUAAAAAAAUGUUUAUACUAUCAUAUUAACUUGUAAAAGAGCAAGCUAUAACAUUUUAUGUUCAAUGUAAUACAUUUUUAUUAAGGCAUAACUCCCUAAAAAUGGCUGGGUAAAAGCCUGGAAAGAGAUACACAAAUGUUAGCGGUGGUUGCUUUUUGGACGGUGUGACCAUGGCGAUUAGAAAUAUUUUUUCCCAACUUUUCACAAGAAACAUAUGGCUUUUCUCAUUUUUUUAAAAAAACGGGGUGGGGGAAAGAGCAAUUAUUUUAAGCCAGAAUGUCCAAAAUGAUGCCGUCGAGUCCAACACAAUAUUUUAGACUUUGUUAAUUCCUUUCUGUACAGGAUAGAAGACAAAGGAGGGGCUAAUCUACUUUAGCCAGAUCUAUCAAGCAAAGCAGUGGGAGUUGUUCACAUAUAAGUUCUGUACCCCCUAAAGGAGGCCCAAGUUAGUUUCUUGGCCCAUGUAAUGAAUGCUUUCUCUCUAUUGACUUUCAUUUUUUAAUAUUCUCUGUCAUGUGACAUAACAAGUCAAUGCUCCAUAAAUAUUGGUCAGUUGAAUGAAUUAAAGAAAAUAUUGAUGCUUACAGGCAGAUAGUUUUCUAGAAAAAUCUGCUUAUUUUUCUGAAUAAUUAUGAAAAACGACAUGAUUUCUAUUUUAAAAAAAAGAGAUAAUGUAUCUAUUGUCGACGGACGGUGGAUGUGAGCCAUGUGUUGUGUUCAUACUCGGAGAAUGAAGGAAAACAUCAGAGACUGGGUAAGACAUAAGCAUGAUUUUGAAGAAAUCAAUUGAAAUUUUAUGGAAAGGAACGAGGAUGUUCCAGGCAUGUGGAUUAGCUUAUGCCAAGAUCUGAUGGCUAAAGAAAGGUGAGCAUAGAGGGUGGCCAGGUUGUUGACGGGAGCAGAUGGCGUGGGCUAGAAGGAUCCUGGCAGGGGUCACUGAUAGAUAGAGGAGGAGAGAAACCCGUAGACAAACAGAUUAGAUUUCCCUCUGAUGCUGGUAAAUGCGGAGCUUUUUGUAAGUUUUGGGGGAAAGUGUGUUCCCAAACACAUAUCCUGCUCUCUUGCUCCUCUUUCUAUGGCAAAGGAGGAGAAAUUUCUUCCAGAGACAUAAGCAGGAGGAAGCUGGAGCUCUCUCCUGAGUGAUUGUCAGUUGCAGAGGAGGUGAAUAUCACAGGACAAGCAAGCGUGGGGGAGAAGACUGCCUAGACAUUCUAAAGUGGCUGCUCUGGUUGGGUGGACUGAGGGUUCCCUCCUGCAAGUUCCUGCUGAGUGUGGCUGUCCUCAGGAAACCAAGUCCCCUCUGCGGCCCUACGCAAUUAAACGAUACUGCAACGGUGAUGCUGCCACUAAUUAAUUUCUCCUCACAUCGAUGGAGACCUUUGGCUAGUGGGGCAUAAUGGAAAAUAAAAAGAAGAUCCCAAAUGCAAGCAUUCCAUCUGUCCCUGAUACGCUGGGAUUUCCUGCAGUCGUGUUUGCUUUUCACCGUCCACUGAAAGAUGUGCAUAAUCUGACAGCCUUGUGAAACACAAAGGCUGCGCGAGUGAGUUUUCCUCAUUUACUUCAACCAAAACAGCAUAUCACAAAAGAUAGAAUGAAGAAGUAAAUACAAGAAUCCAGCUGUCUUUAUUAAGCCAGACAUUAAAGAGCUUUAUUUGCAAAAAUAUAAAGCAUUACCACUGU
RNAcentral lists this long non-coding RNA (2503 nucleotides) under Homo sapiens (human). Its description in RNAcentral is "HSALNT0332734". Lineage: Eukaryota; Metazoa; Chordata; Mammalia; Primates; Hominidae. The record is from RNAcentral.